AUUGAACGCUGGCGGCAGGCUUAACACAUGCAAGUCGAGCGGGGUGAUGGUGCUUGCACUAUCACUUAGCGGCGGACGGGUGAGUAAUGCUUAGGAAUCUGCCUAUUAGUGGGGGACAACAUCUCGAAAGGGAUGCUAAUACCGCAUACGUCCUACGGGAGAAAGCAGGGGAUCACUAGUGACCUUGCGCUAAUAGAUGAGCCUAAGUCGGAUUAGCUAGUUGGUGGGGUAAAGGCCUACCAAGGCGACGAUCUGUAGCGGGUCUGAGGGGAUGAUCCGCAACACUGGGACUGAGACACGGCCCAGACUCCUACGGGGGGCAGCAGUGGGGAAUAUUGGACAAUGGGGGGAACCCUGAUCCAGCCAUGCCGCGUGUGUGAAGAAGGCCUUAUGGUUGUAAAGCACUUUAAGCGAGGAGGAGGCUCUUUUGGUUAAUACCCAAGAUGAGUGGACGUUACUCGCAGAAUAAGCACCGGCUAACUCUGUGCCAGCCGCCGCAGUAA
Molecule: ribosomal RNA, 503 nt
Filed under: uncultured bacterium
Lineage: Bacteria
Description: partial 16S ribosomal RNA
Rfam family: Bacterial small subunit ribosomal RNA
Source: RNAcentral